Molecule: long non-coding RNA, 201 nt
Filed under: Elaeis guineensis (African oil palm)
Lineage: Eukaryota; Viridiplantae; Streptophyta; Magnoliopsida; Arecales; Arecaceae
Description: long non-coding RNA (EGUI_LNC006027)
Source: RNAcentral
AAGGCAAACAAUUUAUUUAUAUACAGAAAUCCUUUUCACCAACAUGUGCUUGUGAGAGUUUCCAUCAUUAAAGUGAAAUCAAGAAAAGAACUUUUGGGUUGCAAUAGAGCUAUCGCCUAGUGGACUCCAUGAUCAUUUAACAGCGCAAUAGCCUCCCACUGCAUUCUCGCUACACAUUUGACAUGCUUGAAAUAGACAUCC